RNAcentral lists this microRNA precursor (90 nucleotides) under Spodoptera frugiperda (fall armyworm). RNAcentral describes it as "microRNA sfr-mir-3286 precursor". The record is from miRBase by way of RNAcentral. Lineage: Eukaryota; Metazoa; Arthropoda; Insecta; Lepidoptera; Noctuidae.
UGAAGCCCAAAACAACUAUUGGGCACUGCACAGGACUAGUUACCCGAAUAUACUCUUGUGCGUGUUCUAAUAGUUGUUGUCGGAGCUUCA